UACGUAGGGUGCGAGCGUUGCCCGGAUUUAUUGGGCGUAAAGGGCGCGUAGGCGGCUCGGCACGUCCGUUGUGAAAUCGCCCGGCUCAACUGGGCGGGGUCAGCGGAUACGGCCGAGCUUGAGCAAGCUAGGGGGCAAUGGAAUUCCCGGUGUAGUGGUGAAAUGCGCAGAUAUCCGGAGGAACACCGGUGGCGAAGGCGGCUUCCUGGACCGACACUGACGCUGAGGCGCGAAAGCUAGGGGAGCAAACGGG
This 253-nucleotide ribosomal RNA is filed under the name uncultured bacterium. RNAcentral describes it as "partial 16S ribosomal RNA". It matches the Rfam family "Bacterial small subunit ribosomal RNA", at positions 524 to 776 of the family's 1533-position model. The record is from RNAcentral.